This 761-nucleotide ribosomal RNA is filed under the name Haemophilus influenzae. Its description in RNAcentral is "bacterial SSU rRNA". It matches the Rfam family "Bacterial small subunit ribosomal RNA", at positions 28 to 776 of the family's 1533-position model. Lineage: Bacteria; Pseudomonadati; Pseudomonadota; Gammaproteobacteria; Pasteurellales; Pasteurellaceae. The record is from RNAcentral.
AUUGAACGCUGGCGGCAGGCUUAACACAUGCAAGUCGAACGGUAGCAGGAGAAAGCUUGCUUUCUUGCUGACGAGUGGCGGACGGGUGAGUAAAUGCUUGGGAAUCUGGCCUAUGGAGGGGGGAUAACGACGGGAAACUGUCGCUAAUACCGCGUAUUAUCGGAAGAUGAAAGUGCGGGACUGAGAGGCCGCAUGCCAUAGGAUGAGCCCAAGUGGGAUUAGGUAGUUGGUGGGGUAAAGGCCUACCAAGCCUGCGAUCUCUAGCUGGUCUGAGAGGAUGACCAGCCACACUGGAACUGAGACACGGUCCAGACUCCUACGGGAGGCAGCAGUGGGGAAUAUUGCGCAAUGGGGGGAACCCUGACGCAGCCAUGCCGCGUGAAUGAAGAAGGCCUUAGGGUUGUAAAGUUCUUUCGGUAUUGAGGAAGGUUGAUGUGUUAAUAGCACAUCAAAUUGACGUUAAAUACAGAAGAAGCACCGGCUAACUCCGUGCCAGCAGCCGCGGUAAUACGGAGGGUGCGAGCGUUAAUCGGAAUAACUGGGCGUAAAGGGCACGCAGGCGGUUAUUUAAGUGAGGUGUGAAAGCCCCGGGCUUAACCUGGGAAUUGCAUUUCAGACUGGGUAACUAGAGUACUUUAGGGAGGGGUAGAAUUCCACGUGUAGCGGUGAAAUGCGUAGAGAUGUGGAGGAAUACCGAAGGCGAAGGCAGCCCCUUGGGAAUGUACUGACGCUCAUGUGCGAAAGCGUGGGGAGCAAACAGG